UUUGGGCUUCCAUUCCCACUUGUCGUACAUGAUAUGGUUUAUAUCACAUGGUUUGACUUUUGCCACCAAAUCUGUUAAGUGCAGAAUCUUGUGUUGCGUCCUCAUCUACACAGUCGGCGUCACUUCAAAUGUUUCAAACACAAAACAGAGGGAUCAUAUGCAAAUGAAGAGAGCCUUCAAAAGCCAACGUCAGAGUAGCAUGUGACAAGCAGCGGGAGCCUUCAAGAUGGAUGGACGAAAAGGAAAGGAAGGAAAUUCUGACAUCUCCAUGUGGAGGGACGAUGUGAUUUUCGAUUGGUUUCAAGAAAUGUGGUGCAGAGCUUCAUGUGUCCCUCCGGAUACAUUGUGUUGGUUUUGUUUCAUUUGGUGCCAUGAUCAGUUGAAAAUUAAAACUGUGUGCUGCACUUGGGUGACGGAUAAAUAAAACUAAUGGGACAGGUAGCGGUCUGCAGCCCGCUUGGUUGGUGACCACUGUUCUAGUGCAUUCGACUAUUAUUCAGCAAGG
Long non-coding RNA from Gasterosteus aculeatus aculeatus (three-spined stickleback), 505 nucleotides. The record is from Ensembl. Lineage: Eukaryota; Metazoa; Chordata; Actinopteri; Perciformes; Gasterosteidae.